GACGAACGCUGGCGGCGUGCUUAACACAUGCAAGUCGAACGAUGAACCCGGAGCUUGCUCUGGGGGAUUAGUGGCGAACGGGUGAGUAACACGUGAGUAACCUGCCCUGGACUCUGGGAUAAGCGUUGGAAACGACGUCUAAUACCGGAUAGGACCUUGGAUCGCAUGAUCUGGGGUGGAAAGUUUUUUCGGUCUGGGAUGGACUCGCGGCCUAUCAGCUUGUUGGUGAGGUAAUGGCUCACCAAGGCGUCGACGGGUAGCCGGCCUGAGAGGGUGACCGGCCACAAUGGGACGGAGACACGGCCCAGACUCCUACGGGAGGCAGCAGUGGGGAAUAUUGCACAAUGGGCGAAAGCCUGAUGCAGCAACGCCGCGUGCGGGAUGACGGCCUUCGGGUUGUAAACCGCUUUUAGUAGGGAAGAAGGGCUUCGGCUUGACGGUACCUGCAGAAAAAGGACCGGCUAACUACGUG
This 472-nucleotide ribosomal RNA is filed under the name uncultured bacterium. RNAcentral describes it as "partial 16S ribosomal RNA". It matches the Rfam family "Bacterial small subunit ribosomal RNA", at positions 28 to 507 of the family's 1533-position model. The record is from RNAcentral.